CUACGGGUGGCAGCAGUGGGGAAUAUUGCACAAUGGGGGAAACCCUGAUGCAGCGACGCCGCGUGAGUGAAGAAGUACUCCGGUAUGUAAAGCCCUGUCAGCAGGGAAGAAAAUGACGGUACCUGACCAAGAAGCCCCGGCUAACUACGUGCCAGCAGCCGCGGUAAUACGUAGGGGGCAAGCGUUAUCCGGAUUUACUGGGUGUAAAGGGAGCGUAGACGGCAAGGCAAGUCUGGAGUGAAAGCCCGUGGCCCAACCACGGGACUGCUUUGGAAACUGUGUUGCUGGAGUGCAGGAGGGGUAAGCGGAAUUCCUAGUGUAGCGGUGAAAUGCGUAGAUAUUAGGAGGAACACCGGUGGCGAAGGCGGCUUACUGGACUGUAACUGACGUUGAGGCUCGAAGGCGUGGGGAGCAAACAGGAUUAGAUACACGAGUAGUC
RNAcentral lists this ribosomal RNA (439 nucleotides) under uncultured bacterium. RNAcentral describes it as "partial 16S ribosomal RNA". It matches the Rfam family "Bacterial small subunit ribosomal RNA", at positions 339 to 795 of the family's 1533-position model. The record is from RNAcentral.